GAGGAAUUUUCCGCAAUGGGCGCAAGCCUGACGGAGCGACGCCGCGUGUGGGAAGAAGGCCUUCGGGUCGUAAACCACUGUCGAAGGGGAAGAUAUUGACGGUACCCUUGGAGGAAGCCCCGGCUAACUACGUGCCAGCAGCCGCGGUAGGACGUAGGGGGCGAGCGUUAUUCGGAAUUAUUGGGCGUAAAGCGCUCGUAGGCGGCUUUGCAAGUCCGUGAAGAAAGACCUGGGCUCAACCCAGGGAACGGCACGGAUACUGCAAGGCUUGAGGUAAUCAGAGGGUGAUGGAAUUCCCGGUGUAGCGGUGGAAUGCGUAGAUAUCGGGAGGAACACCAGUGGCGAAGGCGAUCACCUGGGGUUAAUCUGACGCUGAGGAGCGAAAGCUAGGGGAGCAAAC
This 400-nucleotide ribosomal RNA is filed under the name uncultured bacterium. RNAcentral's name for it is "bacterial SSU rRNA". It matches the Rfam family "Bacterial small subunit ribosomal RNA", at positions 356 to 773 of the family's 1533-position model. The record is from RNAcentral.